This 527-nucleotide ribosomal RNA is filed under the name uncultured fungus. Its description in RNAcentral is "eukaryotic LSU rRNA". The stretch from base 165 to 318 matches the Rfam family "5.8S ribosomal RNA". The record is from RNAcentral. Lineage: Eukaryota; Fungi.
AAGUCGUAACAAGGUUUCCGUAGGUGGACCUGCGGAAGGAUCAUUAGUGAUUGCCCUAGUGGCUUUAAACUAUAUCCACAUACACCUGUGCACUGUCUGAUUGACCCUCACGGGUUAAUUUUACAAACAUUGUGUAAUGAACGUAUUAUUAUUAUAACAAAUAAAACUUUCAACAACGGAUCUCUUGGCUCUCGCAUCGAUGAAGAACGCAGCGAAAUGCGAUAAGUAAUGUGAAUUGCAGAAUUCAGUGAAUCAUCGAAUCUUUGAACGCAACUUGCGCUCUCUGGUAUUCCGGAGAGCAUGCCUGCUUGAGUGUCAUGAAAUCUCAACCAUUAGGGUUUCUUAAUGGCUUGGAUUUGGGUGUUGCCAGCUUGUCUGGCUCACCUUAAAGGAGUUAGCGAGUGUAACAUUGUCGUCUGGCGUAAUAAGUUUCGCUGGUUAGACUUGUGAAGUUUGCUUCUAAUCGCCUUUUUGGCAAUUAUUCUGACUCUGGCCUCAAAUCAGGUAGGACUACCCGCUGAACUUAA